Long non-coding RNA from Pungitius pungitius (ninespine stickleback), 1419 nucleotides. RefSeq lists it as uncharacterized. Lineage: Eukaryota; Metazoa; Chordata; Actinopteri; Perciformes; Gasterosteidae. The record is from RefSeq and is a predicted model, not a curated record. The transcript is spliced from 3 exons.
UUACUGAUUGUAACUUUGAUGAACUUUUUACAUGGUUGCCAUGGAAUAAACUCUUCAGUAUGUCAGAUAAUUUGCAACCCCAUUACUUGAUUAAAUAAAGUUGAAUGUGGUCUGAUUUUCACCUUUUAAAUUAAGCAAUGCACACACAUUGCAUCACUUUGACCCUUAUGAUUGUGCUGCAUUCAGAAACUCAACAAGUGAAAUAUGUUUAACUUAAAAUAUAAAUUGUAUGUAAAAUGGAAAUGGCCAAAUGUAUUUAGGCAGCAGGUUCAGGUUAAAGCUCUAGUUCUAUUUAUUUCUACAGCACAUAGCUGCGUUCAGACUGACACAGAAACACAGUCUCUUAAAAUAAUCUCAUUUUUAAACUGCAGUUUACGACAGGUCGAUGUUGGCUUGUGAUCAACAUGUGCUGUUUGUACUGUGAGGUCACAUCGCUUUUGUUGUCUCUUCUGACAUUUGUCUUGUUGUUUUUGAUGACCAGAGUCCACGACCUAUAAACUCCAUUAGAGGACCACGAUUUAGAUGAAACUGGGACUCAAAUUCUGAAGCAACUUCCCAACACUGGAUACCAAAUGGUCGUUGGGCCUUGAAUGCACCACAUACACGUCUACAAGGAUAGAAAGGGUCUGGAGACGUGUUCAUAACGGCCUACUUGGAUCUCUCCUACUUCAUUUUUACCUUGAGGGAGAAGAACUUCUCAACCAAUCGACAAUGAAACUCAUUAAACAUCAUGAUGCAGGAUGGCUGGGCCUGCUGCGACUACGUAGCGAGGGAAACCAGUCCUACUGAGAGAAACCAGUCCCACUGAGGGAAACCAGUCCCACUGAGAAUGAGGGAAACCAGUCCCAUUGAGGAAACCAGUCCCACUGAGAAUGAGGGAAACCAGUCCCACUGCAACUGUGGAGUCUCCAUGAACACGAAGCCCACAGGUCCACAUGGAGGUUGGAGUUGACUGGACCACGUUGUCACGGUUUGGUUCUGCUUCCUGUUUUAUUUUGUAGUUUUCAUGUCUCUUGUGUUUCUGGGUUAGCUUCACUUCCUGCCUUGUCUUGUGAUUGCCUGAUUGUUUCCACCUGUGUCCAAUCACCUGCACCUCACUGGUGUGUUUAAGCCCUGUGUGCCUGUUGUCCUUUGUCGCGUCAUUGUCAAGUCUCCCUAUUGUUGGAGCACGUGUUUUCAUUUGUUUGGAAUAAAGAGCACUUUUUUUGGAAACCUGAAGACUCAGUCCUGCCUCCGACCUGCACUGGCGACGUGACAGAAUGGUAGUGAUGGCAAAGUGAAGCUUUCUGAACCAGUGAAGCUUUCCAGCCAAUUGUAUCGGAAAAAAGUUCAUUCAUUCAAUUCAUCGCAAACUCUAUGCUGACCUCUGCUGUUGGAUACGUGUAGUGCAUGUUUCAAAUAGACUACCAGUAUCAUUUG